RNAcentral lists this ribosomal RNA (274 nucleotides) under uncultured bacterium. RNAcentral's name for it is "partial 16S ribosomal RNA". It matches the Rfam family "Bacterial small subunit ribosomal RNA", at positions 523 to 796 of the family's 1533-position model. The record is from RNAcentral.
AUACGAGGGGUGUAAGCGUUAUUCGGAAUUACUGGGCGUAAAGGGUGCGUAGACGGCGCAUUAAGUCUGUUGUUAAAUUUUCCGGCUCAACCGGAAAGCUGCGGUAGAAACUGAUGUGCUAGAGAAUGAGAGAGAGAAGUGGAAUUCCCGGAGUAGCGGUAAAAUGCGUGGAUCUCGGGAGGAACACCAAUGGCGAAGGCAGCUUCUUGGCCCAUUUCUGACGUUGAGGCACGAAAGCGUGGGGAACAAACAGGAUUAGAUACCCCAGUAGUCC